RNAcentral lists this transfer RNA (64 nucleotides) under Hymenopenaeus neptunus. RNAcentral describes it as "tRNA-Cys". It matches the Rfam family "tRNA". From Rfam's summary of the family: Transfer RNA (tRNA) molecules are approximately 80 nucleotides in length. Their secondary structure includes four short double-helical elements and three loops (D, anti-codon, and T loops). Further hydrogen bonds mediate the characteristic L-shaped molecular structure. tRNAs have two regions of fundamental functional importance: the anti-codon, which is responsible for specific mRNA codon recognition, and the 3' end, to which the tRNAs corresponding amino acid is attached (by aminoacyl-tRNA synthetases). tRNAs cope with the degeneracy of the genetic code in two manners: having more than one tRNA (with a specific anti-codon) for a particular amino acid; and 'wobble' base-pairing, i.e. permitting non-standard base-pairing at the 3rd anti-codon position. Lineage: Eukaryota; Metazoa; Arthropoda; Malacostraca; Decapoda; Solenoceridae. The record is from RNAcentral.
GGCUUUGUAGUGGAGAAUAAGACGUCAGACUGCAAUUCUGAAGAUGCGUUUAACGCCGGAGCUU